UGAUGAUACACAUCUUCUUCUUCUCGACAAGAUAACAUCUCUCUCUUCUCUCUCUUCCUCCGGUCGUCCUAGUCCGAUCAAGCAGUUAAACCGUGCGUGUUAGGAGCCAGGAGCUUCAGCAAGCGACGGAUCUGGUCAUCAGAUUUGUGUGCGGUGGUUGGAGAAGAGAGAUGGGCCCAGAUGAUCCGUUUGGCGAAUCUAGCCAAGCCCGAAGAUGGUUUGUUCGAUCUCUACCGUGCGUCCGACCGUAGCUGAUCCCACCCAGCUUGGUAUGAAGUCCUUACAGUGCGCCUGAUCGUAGCGGAUCCCACCCAGUGACGGUUGUUUCGUACAAUUCAAAAUGUUCCUUAAGUUAGAAGUUCAUGAAUUCAAAAUCUUCCUUAUGGUGCAUCUGAUCGUAGCUGAUCACAGCCCGAUGAAAAAGAAGGAGGAAAAGCUAAACAGCAGACCUGGACUCCGAUCAAAGAAGCUGUGGAUGAUUUUUGGACAGCUUUUCUCACUCCACCUCAAGGCCAUUUGCUCUCAUGGAGCAUGACAAGAGAUUCCCAGAUGACUUCCUCCCUGGAUUCAUGGAAGAGUUGGAACUACGCCGUGGCUUGAAUCCAUCGGAUGAUCCAGUGUAUAAGGCGAUGGCUGACCUCGUUGAAGAGUACGAUCUUGGCUGGAAUCCAUCGGAUGAUCCAGAGUAUGAGACUCCAAUGAAGAUCAUGAACCAACAUUACAAGGAGCUUAGAGAGACAAGAUCAAGAAAAAGGAAAGAAAGAAGAGGGGGAAGCUGACGAAGAGGGAGGAAAAGGAAAUGGAGAUUGAAAUUGUCCCUACAGCUCAAGAGAUCGAAGAAAACAAGAAGAAGAUGAGGAAAAAUUUGGAAGUCUCUCAAAGCCAAUAUGAAGAGUCUCAGAGAGCUCUUGUUCGUUCCAACAAGUUUGCAAGAUAUGUGACUAGGUAUGCAGCCAAGGUUAAGAACGUCACAAGUCAAGGCUAGUCACUUUUCUGGUAUAAGUCUGUGGUCACUUUUCUGGAUUAAGUCUGUGUAGUGUUACCUAUAUGGAAUAAGUAGUGUUUUGAUAUGUUUUCUUGCUAGUGUUACCUAUAUGGAAUAAGUAGUAGUUUUUGAUAUGUAGGCUGCUACUGUUUACUAAUCAACGUUUUCUUGCAACUGUUCUUCUUCUGUUCAACAAUAUAAAUAUCAAUGAAAUUGUGCUUCUCUGCUGUGGCUAA
Molecule: long non-coding RNA, 1221 nt
Organism: Camelina sativa (false flax)
Lineage: Eukaryota; Viridiplantae; Streptophyta; Magnoliopsida; Brassicales; Brassicaceae
Source: RefSeq, a predicted model, not a curated record